RNAcentral lists this ribosomal RNA (264 nucleotides) under uncultured bacterium. Its description in RNAcentral is "partial 16S ribosomal RNA". It matches the Rfam family "Bacterial small subunit ribosomal RNA", at positions 793 to 1055 of the family's 1533-position model. The record is from RNAcentral.
GUCCACGCUGUAAACGAUGAGAACUGGCCGUCGUGGGGUUUGACCCUCGCGGUGGCGAAGCUAACGCGUUAAGUUCUCCGCCUGGGAAGUACGGCCGCAAGGCUAAAACUCAAAGGAAUUGACGGGGCCCGCACAAGCGGUGGAGUAUGUGGUUUAAUUCGACGCAACGCGAAGAACCUUACCUGGACUCGAAAACGGCCGGAUCUGCCUGAAAGGGCGGAGUGCCCGCAAGGGAGCGGUUGUCAGGUGCUGCAUGGCUGUCGU